RNAcentral lists this ribosomal RNA (599 nucleotides) under Clostridioides difficile. RNAcentral describes it as "bacterial SSU rRNA". It matches the Rfam family "Bacterial small subunit ribosomal RNA", at positions 892 to 1490 of the family's 1533-position model. The record is from RNAcentral. Lineage: Bacteria; Bacillati; Bacillota; Clostridia; Peptostreptococcales; Peptostreptococcaceae.
GAGUGAAACUCAAAGGAAUUGACGGGGACCCGCACAAGUAGCGGAGCAUGUGGUUUAAUUCGAAGCAACGCGAAGAACCUUACCUAAGCUUGACAUCCCAAUGACAUCUCCUUAAUCGGAGAGUUCCCUUCGGGGACAUUGGUGACAGGUGGUGCAUGGUUGUCGUCAGCUCGUGUCGUGAGAUGUUGGGUUAAGUCCCGCAACGAGCGCAACCCUUGUCUUUAGUUGCCAUCAUUAAGUUGGGCACUCUAGAGAGACUGCCAGGGAUAACCUGGAGGAAGGUGGGGAUGACGUCAAAUCAUCAUGCCCCUUAUGCUUAGGGCUACACACGUGCUACAAUGGGUAGUACAGAGGGUUGCCAAGCCGUAAGGUGGAGCUAAUCCCUUAAAGCUACUCUCAGUUCGGAUUGUAGGCUGAAACUCGCCUACAUGAAGCUGGAGUUACUAGUAAUCGCAGAUCAGAAUGCUGCGGUGAAUGCGUUCCCGGGUCUUGUACACACCGCCCGUCACACCACGGGAGUUGGAGACGCCCGAAGCCGAUUAUCUAACCUUUUGGAAGAAGUCGUCGAAGGUGGAAUCAAUAACUGGGGUGAAGUCGUA